CUAGCCUUGACAUGUACGGAACCUCGAUGAAAGUUGAGGGUGCCCGAAAGGGAGCCGAUACACAGGUGCUGCAUGGCUGUCGUCAGCUCGUGUCGUGAGAUGUUGGGUUAAGUCCCGCAACGAGCGCAACCCUCGUCCUAUGUUGCCAGCACGUAAUGGUGGGAACUCAUGGGAUACUGCCGGGGUCAACUCGGAGGAAGGUGGGGAUGACGUCAAAUCAUCAUGCCCCUUAUGUCUUGGGCUUCACGCAUGCUACAAUGGCCGGUACAAAGGGCUGCAAUACCGCAAGGUGGAGCGAAUCCCAAAAAGCCGGUCCCAGUUCGGAUUGGGGUCUGCAACUCGACCUCAUGAAGUCGGAGUCGCUAGUAAUCGCAGAUCAGCAACGCUGCGGUGAAUACGUUCCC
RNAcentral lists this ribosomal RNA (404 nucleotides) under uncultured bacterium. Its description in RNAcentral is "bacterial SSU rRNA". It matches the Rfam family "Bacterial small subunit ribosomal RNA", at positions 975 to 1375 of the family's 1533-position model. The record is from RNAcentral.